Molecule: long non-coding RNA, 1004 nt
Filed under: Homo sapiens (human)
Lineage: Eukaryota; Metazoa; Chordata; Mammalia; Primates; Hominidae
Description: non-protein coding lnc-TFDP2-1:6
Source: RNAcentral
CAGUGAGAGGCAUGCUUCCUUAGACCAGGCAACAUUUCAUUUGUUGCAUUUCCAGUUUCCAAUACCAACUCACCUACAAAGAUUUUACCAAAAACCUUAGGACCAAUAAAUGUGAAUGUUGGACCCCAAAUGAUUAUAAGCACACCACAGAGACUAACCAGUUCAGGAAGUGUUCUGAUUGGGAGUCCAUAUACCCCUGCACCAGCAAUGGUUACUCAGACACACAUAGCAGAAGCUACUGGCUGGGUCCCUGGGUAAGAGUGUUGCAAGUUACUAUUUUUAAAACCUUAAAAAAAGUUUAGACAUUUUUUUCUUACUAUCUUGUCUUCUGUUCUUGUUUUAGUUUAGUUCUUAAAAACAAAUGUUUUUCCUUUAAAAUCACCUAUUUUAUUUCACUUUAUAUCUUAGAUAUAAAUAAUCUCUGGAAUAACUAUUUUUAAACAGAAAAAAACAGUGCAAUAACUCAUAACUAAACCCUGUGACUUUUUAAACUCUGGAAUAGGACUACUUUUAUUAUUAUAAUAUUUAACUGCUUUGGAGAUAUAAAAACUAUAUUUUUAUAUAUUUUUAACUCACACAGAAAAGGAGUUAAAUAUUAAGUGUUGGCUAUACUCAGAAUUUCCCCUAUGAAUUACUUCCAUAAAGACCAGAAAAGGGUAGGAAAAGAGGCCAGAUAAAUUUUUUAUUAAAUUUCCUCUUCUUUUUAAACGCUGAACAAUUGAAUCAAUAUCCCUUCUGUUACUAAUUUGUCACUUUUAGUACAAACUUCUAUAUGUUUCAUCUUUGCAUGUAAAAUACUUAUACCUUUCUCCACUCUUUAUCAUUUUAGUACCUCAUACUUCCAUAAAAGAAAAAUAAGUAAGAUAAAUUACUCAAAACCUCAUUUUGUUACCUUAGACGUUUUGUUACUUUAGAAGUUAUUUACAUGGUGGAAUACUGCAUUGGUGAUUCUGUCAUAUGUGAGUUUGAGCAAGCAGAUGGUAAGUCUUAGUUAAGUAAGAAUC